Long non-coding RNA from Neofelis nebulosa (Clouded leopard), 676 nucleotides. RefSeq lists it as uncharacterized. The transcript has 3 exons. Lineage: Eukaryota; Metazoa; Chordata; Mammalia; Carnivora; Felidae. The record is from RefSeq and is a predicted model, not a curated record.
UACUGUGUAGAAGCGACAAAAAGCAGGCAUCUUCAUUUUGUUUUGGAUUGCAGGGGAAAAGCUUUCUGUCUUUCACCAUUGAACGACAUUAGGACUCCUCUGAGCCUCCAACACGCUAAUCUGGGCCACGGCCCUCUGAGGGGAGGAAUGAGACAAGGAAACUCGUUUGGUCUCAGAGCUCUUUAUAGGGAAGCAUCUCAAGAGACACUUGCAAGAUUUAUUUUUGGGCAACACCGAGGACCUCAGUAAAACGGGCUUCGAUGAAGAUGCCUCCCCCUGCCCGACCAUCUCCAGGGGGAGCCGUGUGAUUCAGGCCCGGCCACUCAAGCACCAAAAUAUCUUGGCUUCAGUGAUUGGCUCAAGAAGGACAGAUGACCCAAACGAGGCCAACAGGGCUAAUCCCCGGAGUUCACUGGAGUCACCAGUUUUCUGCUCUGGAAUUACUAGUGGGUGCGUGUCUGGCAGGAUCUGCCAGGAGUGCUGCCUAAGGAGGUGAUGCCUGAGGAGGGAGCUGACACAGGAGAGCAGACCUGAUGACGUUGUUCGAACUGUGCCAAAGACAGGUCCACCCCUGGACUUUUCAGUGAUCAUGAGCCAAUAAAUUACUUUUGUGUUGUUCUUGUCUUAAGCAAGUAUGAGUUGGGUUCCUUCCUUUGAAACGGAGAUCUAGCAAAGC